ACUAUUGAAUUUCAAGAAUUUGGUGUUAAAAUGGAUUAUUAUUUCAUUUGGAGAAUUUAGUGUUCUCUUAACUAGACGUGAUGUAAAUAUAUAAAAGAGAUUAUUGUAAUACCAUAUUUUUUCCUCCAACUUGCCAAGUAUAACAUUCUAAUAUUUUUUGGGAACGGACUUUGAAAUAAGGAGGCGAAAUUAGAUUUGUGAGCGAAAUAAAAUAACCAAAUGUUCAACCCAUACACAAAAAAAAGAAAAGAAAAUGUUUAUGGAGAGGUCUGAAUUGGAACAUUCAGUCGUUUAGAUAAAUUCAUCUUAUUCAGUGGCACUGGAGCAUUGAGAGGACUAAAUUACCAUUUCGUUCAAUUAACGUUCAGUGGUUAAGAUAAUUUAUCUUCUUCUACUUUUCUUGACAAAAUAUACCAAUGCUUGGUAACUUUAUAACUGCUACUUUUCCUUGUGGACAUAGUGCAUAUCAAUACCCUUUAUUGAUAAGCGAAACCACAUUUCAGUGGAACAUCGGUACCAAAAGUACCAAAAUUUGGUCACUUUCCUAUUGAUUAGAAUUUUAUGAAAAGACUUCUAUAUUGAUUCGGAUAUUAGAAUUUUAUAGUUCUUAUUAUACUAUUAUCAAAACACUUCUAUAUUGAAUAUAAUUUUAUUAUUAAAGACCUCAAUAUUCAUUAGGACAGUGAAACACUUUUAUAUUGAUUAGAAUUUUAUGAAAAGACUUCUAUAUUGAUUCGGAUAUUAGAAUUUUAUAGUUAUUAUUAUACUAUUAUCAAAACACUUCUAUAUUGAAUAUAAUUUUAUUAUUAAAGACCUCAAUAUUCAUUAGGACAGUGAAACACUUUUAUAUUGACUAGAAUUUUAUGAAAAGACUUCUAUAUUGAUUCGGAUAUUGGAAUUUUAUAGUUAUUAUUAUACUAUUAUCAAAAGACUUCUAUAUUGAAUAUAAUUUUAUUAUUAAAGACCUUAAUAUUAAUUAGGACAGUGAAAGACUUAUAUAUAUAUUGAUUAGAAUUUUAUGAAAAGACUUCUAUAUUGAUUCGGAUUUUAUUAUUAAAAAUUUCAAUAUUGGUUAAGAUUAUUAUACUACUAUAUAAAAAGACUUUUAUGGUGAUUAGGAUUUUGUAAUAUAACAUUUAUUCUAUCCGCACAGUUAAAUCGCCAACAAUUUAACUUAUGAAACAGUUCUAUAAAAUUCAUAUCAAAAUUUGGCUAUCAUCAUAUUAUUUUUUAUUUAACAAUUAUUACUAUUAUCAAAAAACCUCUAUAUUUGACAGGAUUUUGUAUUAUAACAAUGAUCUCACUAAUAAAAAUAUAUUACCAACAAAAUUAUUUGUUUUAAUUAUUUAAAACUCACAUAAUUUAAUAUACGGAACAACUUUAUAAAUCUUUUAGCAUGCUUCAGAGUUCAAAUAAAUAAGGAAUUCAUAUUGAUAUUAAUAUAAUAUCUUAUCAAUAGAAUAAUAAUGUCAACGAAAUUAUUCACUUUAAUUUUUAAAAAUCAUACAAUAUAAUUUAAUUUAUAAAAUUUCUAUCAUAUUUCAAAAUUAAAUAAACAAGAUUAAAUAUUGAUACUAAAGUACCAAAAAACUUGGUCAUAUAUAUUUUUAGAGGAAAGUUCUAUGGAGACCGCUAUUUCAUCGAAGACCUCGGAGACCACGUAUAAUCUGCAAUCAAAACACUAUAAAAUAAAUUAUUUUGUAAAAUAUGUUCUACAAAUAUCAUGUAUUCAUUAAAAUUGUUGAAGAUCAUUUAUGUUUAAUAAAUAGAUAAUGUAUGUUCUGCAAGUUUAACAAAUGUUCUGCAAACUAAAUAUAUUUCAUAGAACAAAACAUUUUGUAAUGUUCCACAUGUAAAACUUAUAUGAUAUUUAAGAUUUUAAAUGAAAUAAUGAUUUCAUAGAACAUGAUUUGCAAAACUAUACGUUUUGCAAUGUUUUUAUGAAAUAUUUUACUUGCAGAACAUAUGUGGUCUCCGGGUCUCCGAAAAAAAUGUGGUCUCCGUUGAACUUAACUCUAUAUUUUUAAUAAUAAUUAUUAUUAUUAUCAUUCAGUGUUUUUCAGAAGAUUGCGAUAAAGACGAAUAAGACGGUGGUAACACUGACUUGACAAAUGGAAACUCAAAGAAAAUGAAGUCAUUGUCCAUAUUGCAACAUAUAAUAAAAGAACUGAAACUCUAGACAUACGUCAGAUAUUCGUUUUAAUUUUUAAAACUCAUACAAUUUAAUUUACGAAACAAAAUUAUAAAAUUUCUAUCAUAUUUCAGAAUUAAAAUAAACAAGAUUCAAUAUUGAUACCAAAGUACCUAAAAACUUGGUCAUAUAUAUUUUAAUAAUAAUUAUUAUUAUCAUUCAGUGUUUUUCAGAAGAUUGCGAUAAAGACGAAUAAGGCGGUGGUAACACUGACUUGACAAAUAGAAACUCAAAGAAAAUGAAGUCAUUUUCCAUAUUGCAACAUAUAAUAAAAGAACCGAAACUCUAGACAUACGUCAAAAUAUUUGAUAUCAAAUUACUUUUGGAAAGUUAAUUAAUUUUGUCAAACUACAAUAUUAAUUUAUCAAACAACUACAACAACUGUUAGAUCUACAAAAACACCAACUAGAAUUAUAUAUAAUGUUUGCCUAUUAAAUGAAUAAAAUAAUUGCGACUUAAAAUUUUGAGUUUUUGUUCAAGAUUAAAGAUGCUAUAAACGAACUUAUAUGUGUUGAUCUUGCAUAUUAUUUUCACAAUUUAAAAAUCAUCAAACAACAUAGUAAUUUUACUAAAAUAAAACAUACUUUUAGAGUUAAGUUCCAUAAAAUCUGCAUUUAAGCCGUGGUAAGUACCACUCAUAAUCUUUUAGUUUAAUCAUGAAUAAUAUCCUUAAUUAUUCAAAUUUAUAUAUAAUUUACCAUCUUUAAGUAGUUUUAAAUAUAUAAUUAUCAAUUAAUCAUUGACAUUUUUCAACAUUAACAAUCAUUAAGAUCAUUAUUCUACUUUUGAGUUAUAUUUUAGAACAUAUAUAGUGUUUAGUGAUUUAUAAAAUAAUUGUUUUAUCUUUUGAUUAAAACGAUAAUGUGAUUUAUAAAAAAAUUGUUUUAUCUUUUGAUUGCAACGAUUAUAUUGUGGAACAUAACCUGCAGAUUGUCAAAUGUUUACAAAUAUUGUAGACUAAAAAAAUUAAAAUUUAAACGAGUAGAUUAUUUUUAAAUAAUUUUGGACUCCAAUACUCUUAUUUUGUGGACUUCAUAGAACGGGGACCCAUAUCGUUAUGAUAUAAAUUUAAAGUAGGAUCAAAUUUUAAUAUAUAGAAAGUCCUAUAUUAGAUAACAAUAAUUUAAAUAUCAUUUAAAAACAAUAAUUUAAAUAGAUUUAAUAAAAAUAUGAUAAUGUUAUUAAAAAAAGACAUUAUUCUUCCAAUAAAUAAGAAAUUUUAAAAUUUUUAUUUAAACCCGUGCUUGGCACGGGUUAUCAACUAGUAAAAAACAAGUUAUGAAAGACAUUGAGGGGAUACAAAAGACUAUAAUGUUACUUGCCUGUUUUAUCUCUAGCUACCUCCCUUGUUAUACUAGUUUUGUAAUACACAAUUUUUUUCUGAAUACGUGGGAGGCUCCAAAGAAUAUUUACUGUACAUUUAUAUCCUGCUAGUACUAUUGAGUAUUGACUUGUAUCUUUAUUUAAUAACCUACUAAUAAAAUGUUUUAUGCAAAGCUAAAUGAUGAGACUGUGUGAACGCUUGUG
Molecule: long non-coding RNA, 3718 nt
Filed under: Daucus carota (carrot)
Lineage: Eukaryota; Viridiplantae; Streptophyta; Magnoliopsida; Apiales; Apiaceae
Description: long non-coding RNA (DCAR_LNC005259)
Source: RNAcentral